Molecule: ribosomal RNA, 468 nt
Filed under: uncultured bacterium
Lineage: Bacteria
Description: partial 16S ribosomal RNA
Rfam family: Bacterial small subunit ribosomal RNA
Source: RNAcentral
GACGAACGCUGGCGGCGUGCUUAACACAUGCAAGUCGAACGGAAAGGCCCUGCUUUUGUGGGGUGCUCGAGUGGCGAACGGGUGAGUAACACGUGAGUAACCUGCCCUUGACUUUGGGAUAACUUCAGGAAACUGGGGCUAAUACCGGAUAGGAGCUCCUGCUGCAUGGUGGGGGUUGGAAAGUUUCGGCGGUUGGGGAUGGACUCGCGGCUUAUCAGCUUGUUGGUGGGGUAGUGGCUUACCAAGGCUUUGACGGGUAGCCGGCCUGAGAGGGUGACCGGCCACAUUGGGACUGAGAUACGGCCCAGACUCCUCCGGGAGGCAGCAGUGGGGAAUAUUGCACAAUGGGCGGAAGCCUGAUGCAGCAACGCCGCGUGCGGGAUGACGGCCUACGGGUUGUAAACCGCUUUCGCCUGUGACGAAGCGUGAGUGACGGUAAUGGGUAAAGAAGCACCGGCUAACUACGUG